This 429-nucleotide ribosomal RNA is filed under the name Pseudomonadota bacterium. RNAcentral's name for it is "Proteobacteria bacterium partial 16S ribosomal RNA". It matches the Rfam family "Bacterial small subunit ribosomal RNA", at positions 355 to 776 of the family's 1533-position model. The record is from RNAcentral. Lineage: Bacteria; Pseudomonadati; Pseudomonadota.
UGGGGAAUAUUGGACAAUGGGCGAAAGCCUGAUCCAGCCAUGUCGCGUGUGUGAAGAAGGUCUUCGGAUUGUAAAGCACUUUAAGUUGGGAGGAAGGGCAGUAAGCGAAUACCUUGCUGUUUUGACGUUACCGACAGAAUAAGCACCGGCUAACUCUGUGCCAGCAGCCGCGGUAAUACAGAGGGUGCAAGCGUUAAUCGGAAUUACUGGGCGUAAAGCGCGCGUAGGUGGUUCGUUAAGUUGAAUGUGAAAGCCCCGGGCUCAACCUGGGAACUGCAUCCAAAACUGGCGAGCUAGAGUAGGGCAGAGGGGGGUGGAAUUUCCUGUGUAGCGGUGAAAUGCGUAGAUAUAGGAAGGAACACCAGUGGCGAAGGCGACCACCUGGGCUCAUACUGACACUGAGGUGCGAAAGCGUGGGGAGCAAACAGG